GUGGCUCAGUGGUAGAGUGCUUGCCUUGCAUGCACGAAACCCUGGGUUCAAUUCCUCAGC
RNAcentral lists this transfer RNA (60 nucleotides) under Dipodomys ordii (Ord's kangaroo rat). It matches the Rfam family "tRNA", at positions 7 to 64 of the family's 71-position model. Rfam says of the family: Transfer RNA (tRNA) molecules are approximately 80 nucleotides in length. Their secondary structure includes four short double-helical elements and three loops (D, anti-codon, and T loops). The record is from Rfam by way of RNAcentral. Lineage: Eukaryota; Metazoa; Chordata; Mammalia; Rodentia; Heteromyidae.